UACAGGCGCACACCACGGUGUCUGGCUAA
Molecule: non-coding RNA, 29 nt
Filed under: Homo sapiens (human)
Lineage: Eukaryota; Metazoa; Chordata; Mammalia; Primates; Hominidae
Source: RNAcentral